Molecule: ribosomal RNA, 823 nt
Filed under: uncultured bacterium
Lineage: Bacteria
Description: bacterial SSU rRNA
Rfam family: Bacterial small subunit ribosomal RNA
Source: RNAcentral
CAAGCGGCUCCCGCUGAAGGAUGGGCCUGCGGCUGAUUAGCUAGUUGGUGGGGUAGCGGCCUACCAAGGCGACGAUCAGUAGCCGACCUGAGAGGGUGACCGGCCACACUGGGACUGAGACACGGCCCAGACUCCUACGGGAGGCAGCAGUGGGGAAUAUUGCGCAAUGGGCGAAAGCCUGACGCAGCGACGCCGCGUGGGUGAUGAAGGCCUUCGGGUCGUAAAACCCUGUCGGGUGGAACGAAUUCCCUCUUCGCUAAUAUCGGGGAGGAUUGACGGUACCACCGAAGGAAGCCCCGGCUAACUACGUGCCAGCAACCGCGGUAAUACGUAGGGGGCGAGCGUUGUUCGGAUUUACUGGGCGUAAAGAGCGCGUAGGCGGUGCGAUAAGUCGGAGGUGAAAUCCCUCGGCUCAACCGAGGACCCGCGUCCGAUACUGUCGAACUUGAGUGCAGGAGAGGAGAGCGGAAUUCCCAGUGUAGCGGUGAAAUGCGUAGAUACUGGGGGGAACACCGGUGGCGAAGGCGGCUCUCUGGACUGUCACUGACGCUGAGGCGCGAAAGCUAGGGGAGCAAACGGGAUUAGAUACCCCGGUAGUCCUAGCCGUAAACGAUGGGCACUAGGUGUGGGAGGUAUUGACCCCUUCCGUGCCGCAGCUAACGCAUUAAGUGCCCCGCCUGGGGAGUACGGCCGCAAGGUUGGAACUCAAAGGAAUUGACGGGGGCCCGCACAAGCGGUGGAGCAUGUGGUUUAAUUCGACGCAACGCGAAGAACCUUACCAGGGCUUGACAUCCCGCGAAUCCCGCCGAAAGGCGGGAGUGCC